AAUUUUUAAAGCACAGAUUGCUUUGAGUUCUAGAAGCAGAAUCCAAGAACUUCCAAGCACAGCCACAGCAAAGACCCCAACACCAGCACAAAUAACAGCUGAGAGUAACGGCAGAGCCUUUCUUCUGCAGGAGGCCUUCCCACAUCCCGUCAGUUUUCUUGUCCUUCCCACUCUUGGUUUUAAAAUGGACCUGGCACUCACACUGUAUACAAAACGUAUAUCAACUGCUUGCACGUGGAACAAAACUGCUGCAUGUGUCAUGAAAUGUUUCCUCUGCUGAUACAGAUCUCUGCUAUUACGCUCUGCUGCUGCACAUCAAGGAACGGAGAGGAACACAAUGUGACAGCUCCAUGAUGGUCCAAGUAUGAAAAACAUGACAUGCUUUGGAAAGUAUUGCUUUAGAGGCCAUGGGAAUGAAGCCUCAGUGUGGGUACAUGCCCAGCUGUGCCUUGCAAUUGAGGACAAAGAAGGAGAUGGAUAGCAGCCCUUGUUGCCUCCCAGACCUGCUCUGCAAAUCCACAUCAUCCACAGUGCUUCCUUUGGACAAGCCUUCCUCCUUUUAUUAGCUCUUUUC
This 574-nucleotide long non-coding RNA is filed under the name Gallus gallus (chicken). RNAcentral's name for it is "long non-coding RNA NONGGAT003548". Lineage: Eukaryota; Metazoa; Chordata; Aves; Galliformes; Phasianidae. The record is from RNAcentral.